UCAUUCACCAUAAAAGAACUCACCUUAACCCGAAACCAGAUGGGACAGCAAAGCACACCCUUGUACUCCAAGUCCUCCCUGUUCUACUUGGAGAUGACCCCAGUAACUUCUACAAGACCUGCUUGGUUACGGACACUGAUGAGGCCUGGGAACAAGUAUCUGUUGGGGUGCUGACUGUCAUCGAGGAAGAUGAGCCAAACACGCC
Perca flavescens (yellow perch) is the source of this 205-nucleotide long non-coding RNA. RefSeq lists it as uncharacterized. The record is from RefSeq and is a predicted model, not a curated record. Lineage: Eukaryota; Metazoa; Chordata; Actinopteri; Perciformes; Percidae. The transcript is spliced from 3 exons.